CACCAAGGCGAUGACGGUUAGCUGGUCUGAGAGGAUGGUCAGCCACACUGGGACUGAGAUACUGCCCAGACUCCUACGGGAGGCUGCAGUCGAGAAUCAUUCGCAAUGGGCGCAAGCCUGACGGUGCGACGUCGCGUGGAGGAUGAAGGUCUUCGGAUUGUAAACUCCUGUCAUGUGGGAGAAGUGGCCCGGGUCUGAACAGGACCUGGGAAUGAUAGUACCACAGGAGGAAGGGACGGCUAACUCUGUGCCAGCAGCCGCGGUAAUUCAGAGGUCCCGAGCGUUGUUCGGAUUUACUGGGCGUAAAGGGAGCGUAGGCGGUUCGGUAUGUCGAAUGUGAAAGCCCACAACUCAACUGUGGAAAUGCAUUCGAAACUGCCGGGCUAGAGUACUGGAGAGGAGAGCGGAAUUCUUGGUGUAGCGGUGAAAUGCGUAGAUAUCAAGAGGAACACCGGUGGCGAAGGCGGCUCUCUGGACAGAUACUGACGCUGAGGCUCUAAAGUUAGGGGAGCAAACAGGAUUAGAUACCCUGGUAGUCCUAACCUUAAACGGUGUACACUUGGUGUGCGAGGAAUUGUCCCUUUGCGCGCCGCAGCUAACGCGUUA
Molecule: ribosomal RNA, 606 nt
Filed under: uncultured bacterium
Lineage: Bacteria
Description: bacterial SSU rRNA
Rfam family: Bacterial small subunit ribosomal RNA
Source: RNAcentral